Etheostoma spectabile (orangethroat darter) is the source of this 115-nucleotide long non-coding RNA. RefSeq lists it as uncharacterized. The record is from RefSeq and is a predicted model, not a curated record. The transcript is spliced from 3 exons. NCBI's taxonomy places the organism in Eukaryota, Metazoa, Chordata, Actinopteri, Perciformes, Percidae.
AUGAAAUGAGUCAAUUAGCUAAACUUCAAGCAUGCAUUGAAGAUAUAAAAUCAUGAAUGACCUACAAUUUUCUUAUGUUAAACUCAGACAAAAUUAAGGUUAUUGUCCUGGGCCC